This 254-nucleotide ribosomal RNA is filed under the name uncultured bacterium. Its description in RNAcentral is "partial 16S ribosomal RNA". It matches the Rfam family "Bacterial small subunit ribosomal RNA", at positions 524 to 776 of the family's 1533-position model. The record is from RNAcentral.
GACGAACCGUCCAAACGUUAUUCGGAAUCACUGGGCUUAAAGGGUGCGUAGGCGGCGCGGAAAGUUGGGUGUGAAAUCCCUCGGCUCAACCGAGGAACUGCGCCCAAAACUACCGUGCUCGAGGGAGAUAGAGGUGAGCGGAACUUAGGGUGGAGCGGUGAAAUGCGUAGAGAUCCGGAGGAACACCGAAGGCGAAGGCAGUGUCCUGGCGAGUAUCCUGACGCUGAGGUGCGAAAGCCAGGGGAGCAAACGGG